GAGUUUGAUUCUGGCUCAGGAUGAACGCUGGCGGCGUGCUUAACACAUGCAAGUCGAACGGGCGAAUUAUAUCGGAGGUCUUCGGGCCGAAGAGAUAAUAAGCUAGUGGCGGACGGGUGCGUAACGUGUGGGUAAUCUGCCUUUGUCAUAGGAAUAACUGCUUGAAAAAGUAGCUAAUACCAAAUAACAUAUCGUAUAGGCAUCUAUAAGAUAUCAAAGAGAAAUCGGACAAAGAUGAGCCCGCAUCUGAUUAGCUAGUUGGUAGGGUAAAAGCCUACCAAGGCGACGAUCAGUAGCCGGCCUGAGAGGGUGAACGGCCACAUUGGAACUGAGACACGGUCCAAACUCCUACGGGAGGCAGCAGUGGGGAAUAUUGCACAAUGGGGGGAACCCUGAUGCAGCAACGCCGCGUGAGUGAAGAAGGCUUUCGAGUCGUAAAACUCUGUUGUAAGGGAAGAUAAUGAC
RNAcentral lists this ribosomal RNA (465 nucleotides) under Filifactor villosus. Its description in RNAcentral is "bacterial SSU rRNA". It matches the Rfam family "Bacterial small subunit ribosomal RNA", at positions 9 to 455 of the family's 1533-position model. The record is from RNAcentral. Lineage: Bacteria; Bacillati; Bacillota; Clostridia; Peptostreptococcales; Filifactoraceae.